UGGGGAAUUUUGGACAAUGGGCGAAAGCCUGAUCCAGCAAUGCCGCGUGUGUGAAGAAGGCCUUCGGGUUGUAAAGCACUUUUGUCCGGAAAGAAAUCCUUGGCUCUAAUACAGUCGGGGGAUGACGGUACCGGAAGAAUAAGCACCGGCUAACUACGUGCCAGCAGCCGCGGUAAUACGUAGGGUGCAAGCGUUAAUCGGAAUUACUGGGCGUAAAGCGUGCGCAGGCGGUUUGCUAAGACCGAUGUGAAAUCCCCGGGCUCAACCUGGGAACUGCAUUGGUGACUGGCAGGCUAGAGUAUGGCAGAGGGGGGUAGAAUUCCACGUGUAGCAGUGAAAUGCGUAGAGAUGUGGAGGAAUACCGAUGGCGAAGGCAGCCCCCUGGGCAAUACUGACGCUCAUGCACGAAAGCGUGGGGAGCAAACAGGAUUAGAUACCCUGGUAGUCCACGCCCUAAAACGAUGUCAACUAGUUGUUGGGGAACUUCAUUUUCCUUAGUAACGUAGCUAACGCGUGAAGUUGACCGCCUGGGGAGUACGGUCGCAAAAAUUUUAAAACUC
Molecule: ribosomal RNA, 560 nt
Filed under: uncultured bacterium
Lineage: Bacteria
Description: partial 16S ribosomal RNA
Rfam family: Bacterial small subunit ribosomal RNA
Source: RNAcentral